AUUGAACGCUGGCGGCAGGCCUAACACAUGCAAGUCGAACGAGUGGCGGACGGGUGAGUAAUGUCUGGGAAACUGCCUGAUGGAGGGGGAUAACUACUGGAAACGGUAGCUAAUACCGCAUAACAUCAGAUGAGCCCAAAUGGGAUUAGCUAGUCGGUGAGGUAACGGCUCACCAAGGCUACGAUCCCUAGCUGGUCUGAGAGGAUGACCAGCCACACUGGAAAUGAGACACGGUCCAGACUCCUACGGGAGGCAGCAGUGGGGAAUAUUGAACAAUGGGCGCAAGCCUGAUGCAGCCAUGCCGCGUGUAUGAAGAAGGCCUUCGGGUUGUAAAGUACUUUCAGCGGGGAGGCGUUACCCACAGAAGAAGCACCGGCUAACUCCGUGCCAGCAGCCGCGGUAAUAC
RNAcentral lists this ribosomal RNA (406 nucleotides) under uncultured bacterium. Its description in RNAcentral is "partial 16S ribosomal RNA". It matches the Rfam family "Bacterial small subunit ribosomal RNA", at positions 30 to 526 of the family's 1533-position model. The record is from RNAcentral.